This 277-nucleotide long non-coding RNA is filed under the name Homo sapiens (human). Its description in RNAcentral is "HSALNT0369804". Lineage: Eukaryota; Metazoa; Chordata; Mammalia; Primates; Hominidae. The record is from RNAcentral.
UUUUUUUUUUUUUUUAAUUCUUCAGCUAAAACAGUGGAAAAGGUGAUUUAUUAUAUGGUUGUUACACUCGGCCACAAAUAAACACAGAAAUAGUCCAGAAUGUCACAGGUCCAGGGCAGAGGACCAACAUGGGCAUUUUGUUUAUGAGCAAGGUGGGUCUCAGAGGUGAUCGGCGAUCAGAGGGCGAUGAAGUUCUAGAUCCCAGCAUCCCCAGCGUCUGGCAUUCCAUGUUUCUGCUCCUGUGGCCUCCACGGUGCAACAAGCUAGCGGUUUACUU